RNAcentral lists this ribosomal RNA (486 nucleotides) under uncultured bacterium. RNAcentral's name for it is "bacterial SSU rRNA". It matches the Rfam family "Bacterial small subunit ribosomal RNA", at positions 29 to 507 of the family's 1533-position model. The record is from RNAcentral.
AUUGAACGCUGGCGGCAUGCCUUACACAUGCAAGUCGAACGGUAACGCGGGGCAACCUGGCGACGAGUGGCGAACGGGUGAGUAAAUGCAUCGGAACGUGCCCAGAAGUGGGGGAUAACUACUCGAAAGAGUGGCUAAUACCGCAUGAGACCUGAGGGUGAAAGCGGGGGAUCGCAAGACCUCGCGCUUUUGGAGCGGCCGAUGUCAGAUUAGGUAGUUGGUGGGGUAAAGGCCUACCAAGCCGACGAUCUGUAGCUGGUCUGAGAGGACGACCAGCCACACUGGGACUGAGACACGGCCCAGACUCCUACGGGAGGCAGCAGUGGGGAAUAUUGGGCAAUGGGCGAAAGGCCUGACCCAGCGACACCGCGUGGGUGAUGAAAGCCUUCGGGUUGUAAAGCCCUUUCGUGCGGAAAGAACUGUUCCGCGGUUAAUACCCGCGGAAUUUUGACGGUACCGCAGGAAGAAGCACCGGCUAACUCCGUG